UCCCUGGUAGUCCAGUGGCUAAGACUCCAUUCUCCCAAUGCAGAGAGCUCAGGUUCAAUCCCUGAUCAGGGGA
RNAcentral lists this transfer RNA (73 nucleotides) under Bos taurus (domestic cattle). It matches the Rfam family "tRNA". From Rfam's summary of the family: Transfer RNA (tRNA) molecules are approximately 80 nucleotides in length. Their secondary structure includes four short double-helical elements and three loops (D, anti-codon, and T loops). RNAcentral also lists the same sequence under 2 other names. Lineage: Eukaryota; Metazoa; Chordata; Mammalia; Artiodactyla; Bovidae. The record is from Rfam by way of RNAcentral.